Molecule: ribosomal RNA, 176 nt
Filed under: Ilex quercetorum
Lineage: Eukaryota; Viridiplantae; Streptophyta; Magnoliopsida; Aquifoliales; Aquifoliaceae
Description: 5.8S ribosomal RNA
Rfam family: 5.8S ribosomal RNA (bases 6-161)
About the family: 5.8S ribosomal RNA (5.8S rRNA) is a component of the large subunit of the eukaryotic ribosome.
Source: RNAcentral
AAAACGACUCUCGGCAACGGAUAUCUCGGCUCUCGCAUCGAUGAAGAACGUAGCGAAAUGCGAUACUUGGUGUGAAUUGCAGAAUCCCGUGAACCWUCGAGUUUUUGAACGCAAKUUGCGCCCAAAGCCAUUAGGCUAAGGGCACGUYUGCCUGGGCGUCACGCAUCACGUCGCCC